GGCCACAAUUCCUGGUAGUUUGCUCUCCAUUUCCGGUCCCAGCAGAGAUGAGGCGGGGAGUUCCGGUUGAACACGUCACCUGUUGCCAAGCCUCUCCCAGCUCGGCGAAGGACUGUAACCCUCAAACCGUGAGCUAAAGCUCAGGCAGCAGCUGGAGAAACUAGGAGUGGAGACCCUUGUUCCAGUUCCAAGUCUGUCACUGCGACAAACACCCUGACAAAUGGGACUCAGGGGAGAAAGACGUUAUUUGACUUGGAAUGCCAGGUCACAGUCCCUGAUUGUGGGGAAGGCAAAUAAGGAACUGACUCAAAGCUUGUCAAGAGGAGAGAGAGGAAACGCAAGAGUCCUUGCCUGCCUGCCGGCUCAUCUGCUGUCAGCUAGCAAGUGUCUUCUUAUCUAGUUCGGGAACCUUCACAUAAGUAGGGGUACUGUUCACGACGGACCGAGUCCUCCUGCAUCAAUUAAAAGUUGAGACCGUCCCCCAAAGUCAAGCCCGCAGGCCAACCUGAUCUACAAGGAUCUUCAGUAAGGCUCGUUCCCAAGUGAUUCUGGGUUGAAUCAAAUUGGCGGUUAAAGCUAACUGCACGGCCCUGUUAGAGGCUGAUCUGAUCACUGAAAUGGGAGGGAUGGGACAAGAGAUGGCUCCAAAGGCAUUUGUUUACUCUCUGCCUUUCUCUGCGAUGCAUUAAAUUGUUCACACUCCCAGAAGGCCUGGUGUUGGGAGGUUGCUACAUCUGAUAGAUACGUAGCUAGGUGUCUGUGCUCAGGGUAUUCACAGGGAGUUUUCAUAGAUUCUAAGUGAGGCAGCACAUUUAGGGGCGAAGUUCUGUCUGAGCUCGUGUCCAUUGAGUCUUUCCUUAAUUCCAGCUGAAACUACAAAACAAGGUGAGCGUGCCCAGAAGGGUUUGUGUCCCUCAUCUUGGCCUUACAAAUAUGUUCUCCGUGACCUUGAGAUAGGCAUGUCACUGAAUGUGUCUGUCAUCCUUCCUACUUAAAAAAAAAUGCCCCCAUGCUGAGCAGUUCUUUAACUGAGCAUGCACAGCCAUCCUUCCCCCAGAACACUUCCUAGGUGAACAGUUUUCCUGAAUAGAGCCCCCAGCUUGUCUUUGUUUUGAAGAACAAACACUAUUGGAGCUCACACCUGUGCCUGUGCAACUUUCUCUACCUGCAUUUCUUCCCAGUGUGUCUGUCCUUGUACGUGUGUGUGUGUGUGUGUGUGUGUGUGUGUGUGUUCCCCCCACCACCACUAUCAAUCAACAUUAGCACAGUCACCACCUACAGGGGAAGAUUUUAGUUCUUUUGAGCAACACUUGAGAGUUCACGAGUUUUCACAAGAGGCCUAAGAUCAUAUCCAAACUGAAAUUUUUGUGUCUGCGGAAAACGAAUGUUCAAGGAAACUGUAAUUAUUGUUACUAGUAUUUUAAUGAAUACUCAGUCUAUUAUACUUGGAGUCAACAACUUCAAAAAUUUUAGGGCUGGAGAGAUGGCUCAGCGGUUAAGAACACUGACUGCUCUUCCAGAGGUCCUGAGUUCAGAUCCCAGCAACCACAUGGUAGCUCACAAACAUUUGUAAUGGGAUCUGAUGCCCUCUUCUGGUGUGUCUGAAGAUAGCAACAGUGUACUUAUAUAUAAUAAAUAAAUCUUAAAAAAUAAAAUAAAUACUUUAAAAAAAAUUUAGCAUACAGUUUACCAUUAAAUGACAGUCAAUUUUAUACUCCAGUAAAAAGGACACUAGAAAAGACACCCACCUUAACACCAGCCAUUGUAAAGGAUAAGUUUAACACAUCUGAUUUCCUGAAAACCUUCAAGUGCCUGCUGUAAGUCAGAAAACAACAGGGAUAUUUAGGACCGCCUUCCUGUGUACUAUAGACUUUUAGAAGGUGGAUCUUAGAUACUCCCAAGGAUGCUGUGGACAGAGCAUUUGAGGAGUCUCUGGGAGCACAUCUGUGACCAGCAUCAUUGCCACUUUGGGACAGACACAUCUGACCAACGGACUCCAUCCAGUACAGCAAGUGUCUGGUACAAAUGAUUUAUAAUUCUGAAAGUAUUAAAAAGGCAGGCUUCCAGCUAAGACAGCAGGCUACAGCCAACACCAUUGGAGGAGAAUCAGAAGACAGCAGAAGUGGAAUCUUGUAAAGAGAAAGACGGAGAGCAUCGGAACCCCUGUCCACAAAGGGAUGGAGAAGGCUCCUGAGAAGUGAAGAGGGAGACUGACAAGGGCACCCAGAGGAGGUGCGGGGAACACCUUCUGCCCCACAGCUCGGUGGUAUGAAUGUGCUGGAGGCAGAAGCCUCUUCCCCAGGGAAAGCCACGUGGGAGAAAAGCAAUGGAGCACAAGGACAGCCCAGACCCCUUGUGAGCUUCAGUGAGCCACUGCUUCAUGGGCACAGGAGUCAGCAGUGGAGAGAAAUCCAGAUCCGGCAAUCUGUCUGACUUAGGCACCAUCUUGAGAGAACCAGAUGUUAAAACAGGAGCAACCCCAGGGCCCAAGAGCAGGGAGAAUGGGUUGGUGUCCCAGAAGCUUUUCCUGAUGCUCUAACACCUGACUAAAGGCAAUUUAAAACAAAA
Long non-coding RNA from Rattus norvegicus (Norway rat), 2568 nucleotides. RefSeq lists it as uncharacterized. NCBI's taxonomy places the organism in Eukaryota, Metazoa, Chordata, Mammalia, Rodentia, Muridae. The record is from RefSeq and is a predicted model, not a curated record.